CCUAAUAGUGCCACUCCCUGGGCCAAGCAUCUUCAAACCACCACAGAUUUCAAGAUUUUUUUCUCAAACAGAAAGAGGACAAGAGAGAAGAUGAGAUAUGAUUCCAGACCUAGAGUGGCCAUCACAGUCAGUUGGAUCUUGUUGCAGCACACAGGCCAACCAGGGAAGGGCAAUUUCAACCAGGACGUCGAGAUUCUGCCUCUCAGCGUCUGCUCCCAAUAUGUGGGCUUUCCCACUCUCAGACUCCCACAAAGCAGAAUGAGAACAAGACAAUUGACCACACUGAAGUCUGCUGGCAGAUGGUGUUUGGGAUUUUGUUUUUAUUAAAUGGACUGCAUUGACUAAGUGAUUGACUAUGGUCAAAAGGAAGGCUAUGAAAGAACUGGACUCUCCCUCUACUAAAGCCCAAUCUUCUCAACUCUAAUUGUGCAAAAGACCACAGUUUUUAGUGUGGCGAAAGGAUCAUCCUUGGAGAACUUCCCAUAGUCCUAAAGGAAUGUUGUCCAAGUAAGCUCUCUAGCUAGUGCCAGCAUUCCUACCCUGGCAAAGCAGAAGAGUCACAGCUGCCACCAGGGCAAUGGCAGCUUUCCUCCCUGUUAGGAAGGAUGCUGAGGACAAGCCUGGGAACAGAGGGGGAUGCUGGUAAUAAAGCCUAGUGCAGA
Mastomys coucha (southern multimammate mouse) is the source of this 662-nucleotide long non-coding RNA. RefSeq lists it as uncharacterized. The record is from RefSeq and is a predicted model, not a curated record. NCBI's taxonomy places the organism in Eukaryota, Metazoa, Chordata, Mammalia, Rodentia, Muridae. The transcript is spliced from 2 exons.